This 816-nucleotide long non-coding RNA is filed under the name Olea europaea (common olive). Its description in RNAcentral is "long non-coding RNA (OEUR_LNC009235)". Lineage: Eukaryota; Viridiplantae; Streptophyta; Magnoliopsida; Lamiales; Oleaceae. The record is from RNAcentral.
CCCGUUUGUCCCAAUAAUAGCGUUCUACCUAUUGUGAGUUUUUCAACACUACGAAUAAGCAACUUAUUGUUCUAAUGGUGUGCAAACAUUAAAAAAAUGUAAAUAGACAUAUUAAUGGAAUCACAACACAAGAAUUAAGAUAAAAACACAUGUCUCGAAUCAAAAUUAAAAAUUAAACAAUUUUGUCAUCCAUCCAAUACAUGAAAAUAUUUAGCCUAGCAUAAGAUUGGAAUUAAAUAAAGAAAAGUGGGAGGACAUCACCGAGAAAUUGAUGAAACGUGAUUAAUUUCCAAAUUAUUUGCACAAUUGUUGAAGAAUAAUUGCACAAAAACUCAGCCCGCUUUUCUACGUUUUCCGCUUCAAUUCCAGCGUGUGUUUGCUCUGUAUAUAUAUAAAAAAUCAGCCGCCUUAUGUAAUGUACGAUCAAUCCUCAUGGCAGCCAUUUUGACUCCAAAUACAGCCGUUUUCUGUGAGUUUUCCCCCUUUUAUUCUUCAAAAUCAGUCCCUUUUUCCUUGCCUUCUUUCCCAGCAGCUUUGCCCUUUUUUUAAUCUAUUUCAAACCAAUUCCCAAAGUAGGCUUCCACUUUCUGUGCGUAAAACAUAUAUAACAGCCCGUUACCUUGUUUGACUCCAAAAAGAAUUCAGUUGCUCAUGAAAUUGGCUUCCCGUGUGUAUAUAUAAUUCUUCACCGAGCUACUAUGUUUAAUUCCACAAAGAACUCUAUCUUUUGCCUCCUUUUCUUUGACCUUGCAGCUGCCGUUUUCUAUAAGUUAAUCUCCCCAGUUGUCGUCUCUUUUUGUAUGUAGAAAAAAAAAA